Ribosomal RNA from Scophthalmus maximus (turbot), 109 nucleotides. The record is from Ensembl. Lineage: Eukaryota; Metazoa; Chordata; Actinopteri; Pleuronectiformes; Scophthalmidae.
GCUUACGGCCACACUGCCUGGUUCACGCCUGAUCUCGGAAGCUAAGAUAGGUUGGGCCUGGUUAGUACUUGGAUGGGAGACCGCCUGGGAAUACCAGGUGCUGCAAGCU